This 3329-nucleotide unclassified non-coding RNA is filed under the name Hevea brasiliensis (rubber tree). Lineage: Eukaryota; Viridiplantae; Streptophyta; Magnoliopsida; Malpighiales; Euphorbiaceae. The record is from RNAcentral.
ACAUAGUGCUUUUUAAAAAACGACAAAUGUUUACGCCUUGGACUUUUUAGUGUUCAACUCGCAGCAUUAAAAUUUGAUGACAAAUUUAGAUCAAGGCUUCCUGGCUAUCUUCCCAGUCAAAAUCAUCUCUUGGCCCAUAGCCUCUAGAUUUUGUACGUCAAAAUGCUGCCGAAAGGUUUCUAGGUCAGGUCCAUGGCCACUCGAUGCGGACAUAACUCAUGUUCAACAACAAUUUGAAAGCAACAUCCCUACAUAACUUUUCAAGCGUGCGCUGGGCUCUCACACAGAUGAAAGUUGCAUGGAUAGGCUUAUAGAACAGGAUCGGGAUCACAGGCCCUAUAAGGUCGAUGCAACGCCUACUGGUCCUACCCAUGCCACUUCCAAAGACAAUUCACUUAACUAGACCCAUUAUUGCUCCACAGUGGAACCUCCACUUUUGUCUAAUGCAGCAAAAUAAACGGACCUCUAUCCAUCUACCAUUCCAACAAAAUAAAGCAGCUUGCAUAGAUAGGAGAAAAAGAGAUGAAGAGAGAUUCAGACAGUAAAAAGUCUAGCAAUCUGGUACUAUAUACUUUUUUGCAAAAGAAAAACUUAUCUAAAUCACUUGUAUGGUUACCUGAGUUUAUUAGUGUCAUGGACAAAAUGAAGCCAAGAUACAUAACAUUUACAGUGCAGACUUCCAAGUUGCCCUUAAGCAAAACUCACAUCACAAUACACUUAUCCUUUGAUUUUGCUUCGGGCCUUGAAGAUGAAGAUGAAUAUUUCCCAGUGGUUCUGGGCACCUGGGGACCGGUAAUCAGUCUUGAGCUGCCAGUAACAGUAGGUUGCUCCAAAUUAUGGCGUUGAGGCUGCUCCUGCUGCUGCUGCUGCUCAAACUCCUGUUGUUGCAGAGCUAUUGCAAGCUGCAGAUCAGAACUGCCACAAAAACAAAUCUAUAAAUGUAAAUCUUGCCUGUAACUUGAGGCAAAAUAUGAUCCGAGUACAAGGGGGAAAAAAAAAAAAGAUCAAAAGAGCUACAUGUAGAGAGUUUAAAAUUGGUAAUGGUCUUCUAUACUAAUGCUUUCCUAUUAAAGAUUAAAUCUACGCAUCUGUGAUGAGUCAGAACAAUUACUUCAUAUCCAAGCCCACUUGUGCUCCAGUAUCAAUGCUGGCAAUAUAGUCAGCAGUACUGGCCAUGGCAUUGUGCUCAUCCCAUGUAUCAUUUGCAUGACUUUCUGCCUUGAAUUCCUUGAAGUUGCCAGUCAUGAACAAUGUAUCCCCAUUGACCUCAUUUAGUUUCUCCCACACCAAAUCAGGCUGGUUUAAGUAUCCCUGGUCCGUAGCUAAAAGAUAAAGUUCACCAUCAUACUUAAACAUGGUGCUGAAGUGAUUGUUACGGAAAAAAACACAAAGUUCACGUUCUUUGAGGCCAUCUUGUAAGCAAAAAAGGCCAUAAAAAGUCAGCUGACUAGCACUGUUCUUCAAAAAGUUCCUUAUCAGUUCCCCUUCUUGUAGUGUGAUUUCAUCAUUUGGCCUCACAGUUUUAUCAGCCUGUUCCGCAAGAAUCACCUCACCUUCAUACAUAGGCUCUCGGUCUUCAAAAACUGCAGUUCCUGAAUCUAAUAUGCAUUCUUCUCCUUCAUAAAUGGGCUCACUGCCAUCAACACUAGAAGUAAAUGUUUCAGGUACAUCUACAUUCUGCAUUCUGCCACUAGAGGAAUCUGAAUCCAGAUUUGGGGCAGAAAACCCUGAUAUUUCUGCUGUGUCAUGCCCACCAGAAAUAUCUGCUGGUUCAUGAACAUCAGUUAUGGAAGCUGAUUGAUUCUCAACCAUUUUGCCUCCUCGAGAAACAUCCAUGCAGUCUUCAUCAACAGACACAAUAUUUUUUCCACCAGCUAGGGACGGUACACCAGCAAUCUGGACUGGCAUCUCAACACUACAACUCUCACUUAUAGCAUUACAAGAACCAGAGUCUGUGGAUUCUUUAUAAGUUGACUGAUCAAGCAAUUUUAUCUGAUCAGCGUUUGAAGGAGAACAUGUCAUUUCCCCUGGAAGAGAUUCUGAAGGGCUAAUCUGAUCAAUCUUUGAGGGAGAACAUGCCAUUUCCCCAGGAAGAGAUCCGAGAGAAAUGAGAUCACCGUGAUCACUGCUCAGGACGCCGUGAUUAUUAUCAAUACCAAUAUGCCCCUCCGAAAUAUCUAAAGAAUUUACAGGCACAGCACCCUUUGCAAAUGUAUAUUCAUCUGAACCAGCAGGUAGAACCCCUUCACUAACAUCAGCUACAAAGGCAUCACCCAUGGAAGUGGGCAAUUCCUUCGCCGACAAUUUUAAGACCCUCAACACCUCUGCUUCUUCUUCUAGGUCCCCUUUCCUUAAUGUCUGGUGAUCAGAGACUGAACGCGGAGAAUCAUCAAAAGAUCUAGCUUUUGAAAGACAGGGAGAAGGAACCCCCAGAGUUGCAGUGGUUGCAGCAGCAAAAUCAACAGAAUCUUCCUCAUGGUUUUCCUUACUUUCACCUUCCAUGUUUCGUGUUUCCAGGGCAACAAGCUCUCCCAUAAGAGCAUUAUAGGACUUUGACCCAAUCGCAUUUGCAGUAUCAGAAUCUUGGGGAUCAACCAUCCAACCGUGAUACAAAGGGAUGUCGAGCAAAUCAAAUAUGGCACAUUCUGGUGUGAACUCGAAAUCAUCUAUCCUCCUAAACUUUAUAUUUACAUCAAUUCCGGUCGCAAGACGUGGAAGCAAAUCUAUAGCAUCUGCAAUAUUCUGCUGUUGGUUUUCAACAUAGCCUGCAUCUUUAUUAUUUAUAUUACUGUUGGAAUCAAUCAAACGUUCUGCAACCAGUGAUAAUAGUUUCUCCUGCGAAACUUCUGCUAUAUCUGGGCUCAAAUUUAGAUUGUUCUUCAACAAAAGAACGUUACAGAUAGCGAGGAGAGGGCAAGGUCCAUUGUCGUUUUGGAGAACAAUAGGAGUAGUGCGGCCCAAAAACUGUAUCGUCUUCGUUUUGUGGACGCACUCCUCUUUCAACGCCUCUUGUUGAUUCUGUUCUUGUCUUGGUUCUUCGGUCACCGAAGAAGUACAAGCCAUUUCCAUGAAAUUUCGACCCUGCAAUGUUUAAACGACGGAUCGUUUAAUCUAUUCAGAGGUAGCGAGCGAGAGCGAGAAAUAGAGAGGAUAAAAAGGGAAGCAGCAACGAACAAGAUUUAUAAAAUCAGAGAGUUGGAUUAUGGGAAUGGGAUGUUUUAUCUUCUGUUCUUUAUUUCCCGUUCGACGGUAUCACCAAAGCCGUUUUGGCCUCUUUCGAUUUCAAGUUUCAAUCUGAUGAGAUUUUUUCUCAUUAUUUUCCUAUUUUU